This is a long non-coding RNA of Equus asinus (donkey), 1978 nucleotides long. The record is from Ensembl. Lineage: Eukaryota; Metazoa; Chordata; Mammalia; Perissodactyla; Equidae.
GGAAAUUCCAUGCCCUUCCCACAUACCUUGCCCUGUGCAUCCACGUACUGAGAGGAUGACUCACCCCAACUCAGCAGCGACAGAAGCUCCUAUGCUCAGGACCUUCCCAGACUUCCCCCAAGUGUCUCUUCAUCUGGUUGUUCAUCUGUAUCCUUUAUCACAUCCUGUCAUAAACUGGUCAAGCCCCCCAGCAUGAGACUGUAUGUUUUAGUUGUGGGUCCUUCUAGUUGUGGCAUGUGGGACGCCGCCUCAGCAUGGCCUGACGAGCAGUGCCAGUUCUGCGCCCAGGAUCCGAACCAGCAAAACCCUGGGCCACUGAAGCAGAUCAUGUGAACUUAACCACUCGGCCACGGGGCCGGCCCCAAGAAAUAACUUUUGAAAAUUUAAAACAUGCUUGCCAUAAUAAAACUUGCAAUAGAUGGUUUGGAAAAUAAAGUUGGUGAAAUCUCCAGAAUGUGGAACAAAACGUCAAAAAGAAAAAUAUAUGAGAGGAGAGAGGCUACUUAAAGAAAUAAUUCAAGAAGUUCAACAUCCAAACAGUUGGCAUUCUGGAAAGAGGAAAGAGAAAAACAAAGGCAAAAGAGUUAUCAAAGAAAGAAUCAAAGAGAAUUUCCCAGGGGCAUGGGAUGGCCAUGUGGAGGCCCUACUGUAUGUCAUGUACCACGUGAUACCGGGGCUGUAAGAGACACAGUCCUGCCACAUGGUGCCGAGAGUCUUGGGAGACAGAGAGACAGAAACCAAGAAGUUGCACAAAUUAAUGUAAAAUUGCAACUAGAAUACACAUCACAAAGAAGGCUAUGGAAACUUAGGCCAGAGAAGGGUCUCUGAGACAGGGACAUCUGAGGCCAGAAGUAAUCAGGCAGGAGAGGGAGGGAGGAAUGUUUGGGGCAAGCGGAACAGCAUCUGCAAAGACAGUGUGGCCAGAGGGAGCAUGAUGAGCUUGAGGAGCUGAAAGAAGGCCUGUGAGGCUGGACUACCAAGAAGCUUCCUAGGUGUUGUGGUGGGUAAGGGGUUGGGCAGACCACACAGGGCUCUGAGGGCCCAAGAGCAGUAAGAAGCCAGGUCUUAGAAACCAAAGCAGGUCCCUAGGGAGAAAGGAAAUGCUUUCUAUUCCUUCUGGACACCAGGACCAAGAAACAAAGCACAAGUUAAACCCUCAGCAGCUACCUCUCCACUCUGGUACUUGGUGGGACAUCCAGGUCCCCUGGAAGAAGCGAAAUCCGGCCUGGCCCUGCAAACCACAAGGGGGUGCUGUGAGGCUCAAACCAGAGAAAGGCUGGCAACCUAUCCCUUAGACAAAAUCACAGGAUCAAUUUCUAGAAAUGGAAUUUCUGGUGCAAACAGAUGGAAAGUUUUUAGGGCUUUCACCCUACAGCACAGUGGAACCAAUUUACAGCCCCAGCAGCAGAAUGAAGAUUAGCCCUGAGCUAACAUCCACUGCCAAUCCUCCUCUUUUUGCUGAGGAAGACUGGCCCUGAGCUAACACCCAUGCCCAUCUUCCUCUACUUUAUAUGUGGGACACCUGCCACAGCAUGGCCUGACAAGUCCACACCUGAGAUCACAGCCGGGGAACCCCAGGCCACCGAAGUAGAGCCCUCGAACUUCAAUACGACACUGGAUCUGCCCCAAAGUUGCAUUUCUUUUGUUACUAUUAUUGUUACAAAUGGCUUCACAUGUUUACUGAUCAUUUACACUUAGUUUUAAAUCACAUGUCUGUUAUGCUCCGUGCCUAUUCCUACUGGGGUGGUGUCUUUUUCCUAUUGAUUUGUAAUGAUAUCAACACUUUUUCAGAUAUAUAUUGAAUUGUCCUAAUUUAUCCUUUGCCUAUUAAUUUUGUUUAUGAUUUUUUUGAUGCACAAAAUCUUUUUGCUGUCAUAUUUUUCAAUCUUUCCCUUAUGGUUUCUACUUUUGAUAUUAAACUUAGAAUGGCUUUCCCCACAUGGACAUUAUAUGAGUAUUUUCCUCUAUUAUCUUUUUG